Molecule: ribosomal RNA, 495 nt
Filed under: uncultured bacterium
Lineage: Bacteria
Description: partial 16S ribosomal RNA
Rfam family: Bacterial small subunit ribosomal RNA
Source: RNAcentral
GAUGAACGCUGGCGGCGUGCCUAAUACAUGCAAGUAGAACGCUGAAGGAGGAGCUUGCUCUUCUGGAUGAGUUGCGAACGGGUGAGUAACGCGUAGGUAACCUGCCUGGUAGCGGGGGAUAACUAUUGGAAACGAUAGCUAAUACCGCAUGACAACAGUUAUUGCAUGAUAACUGUUUAAAAGGGGCAACUGCUCCACUACCAGAUGGACCUGCGUUGUAUUAGCUAGUUGGUGAGGUAACGGCUCACCAAGGCGACGAUACAUAGCCGACCUGAGAGGGGGAUCGGCCACACUGGGACUGAGACACGGCCCAGACUCCUACGGGAGGCAGCAGUAGGGAAUCUUCGGCAAUGGACGGAAGGCUGACCGAGCAACGCCGCGUGAGUGAAGAAGGUUUUCGGAUCGUAAAGCUCUGUUGUAAGAGAAGAACGAGUGUGAGAGUGGAAAGUUCACACUGUGACGGUAUCUUACCAGAAAGGGACGGCUAACUACGUG